Molecule: transfer RNA, 106 nt
Filed under: Oenococcus kitaharae
Lineage: Bacteria; Bacillati; Bacillota; Bacilli; Lactobacillales; Lactobacillaceae
Also listed under: 1 other name
Description: tRNA-OTHER
Rfam family: tRNA
About the family: Transfer RNA (tRNA) molecules are approximately 80 nucleotides in length. Their secondary structure includes four short double-helical elements and three loops (D, anti-codon, and T loops).
Source: RNAcentral
GGGGAAGUACUCAAGUCUGGUUUAAGAGGCCAUUUGUCUGUACGCUAUACAUAACACAUGGUAGGUCGAUUUCUCGAUGCGGGGGUUCAAAUCCCUUCCUUCUCCA